Molecule: ribosomal RNA, 492 nt
Filed under: uncultured bacterium
Lineage: Bacteria
Description: bacterial SSU rRNA
Rfam family: Bacterial small subunit ribosomal RNA
Source: RNAcentral
GAUGAACGCUAGCGGCAGGCUUAAUACAUGCAAGUCGAGGGGCAGCAUGACUGUAGCAAUACAGUUGAUGGCGACCGGCAAACGGGUGCGGAACACGUACAGAACCUUCCUUCGAGCGGGGAAUAGCCCAGAGAAAUUUGGAUUAAUACCCCAUAGUAUAUUAGAGUGGCAUCACUUUGAUAUUAAAGAUUUAUCACUUGAAGAUGGCUGUGCGGCUGAUUAGGUAGUUGGCGGGGUAACGGCCCACCAAGCCUUCGAUCAGUAACUGGUGUGAGAGCACGACCAGUCACACGGGCACUGAGACACGGGCCCGACUCCUACGGGAGGCAGCAGUAAGGAAUAUUGGUCAAUGGACGAAAGUCUGAACCAGCCAUGCCGCGUGGAGGAUGAAGGUCCUCUGGAUUGUAAACUUCUUUUAUAUGGGACGAAAAAGGGUUUCUAACUCGUCUGACGGUACCAUAUGAAUAAGCACCGGCUAACUCCGUGCCAGCA